Molecule: long non-coding RNA, 914 nt
Organism: Megalobrama amblycephala (Wuchang bream)
Lineage: Eukaryota; Metazoa; Chordata; Actinopteri; Cypriniformes; Xenocyprididae
Exons: 3
Source: RefSeq, a predicted model, not a curated record
CACAAACAGAGACACGUGAUCACUGCCAUUAUUCAAAUGAAGAAGGGAAUUUUGGAGCCCUGAUGACUUUGCAUUUGAUGUCAUUGUUGACACCUAACAGGAUAGAACAAGAACAAACAAAGCCAGCUCAAACACGCAUUGUUUAUAUCCUCCUGGGACCCAGGCAUAGACUUUUCUCCUCUGUAGACAGAGCACAUUAUAUUUUAGCUAUUUCUCGAAGACCAUACAUGUUGGUUUUAAAGAGCACAUGUGCAACAAUAAAGAGCACAUUCAGGGCUUUUCAGAGAUAGCAAAUGACACUGAAUGAUCAAAUUUAGCACUCUUAUGGAAAUAUGAUAAUAUUUUGUAAUCAUCAUUUAAGUAAAUUUGAGUAAUUUUCUAAUUGUUUGUCGUAAAUAAACAUCUCAGGAAAACGUUAUGGGGUUUCAAAUCAGAAUACGACUUUCUGUUACGAAACAGGGCAUCGAUUUCAUACAUGUCCUCUGUAGAAGAAACCAGGACUUAUCAGGCAUUUUGGAACUUUUUUUCAAGUAUGUGCCUAUGUGACAUCAGAAUGGUCAGAAUUCCUUGUACGGGCAUUUCUCCCAGAAGAGUGCGCGCACACGUCGACCAGAGCGAGAGAGCAAGAGCAUGCCCAUCAACACGCUUCGUUCGGGUUUACGGAAGUCAUCGGCACAGGCAAAGUUAACGCUGCACAGGUCACAGGACUUCAUGAAAUCAACAAUGCUCCGCUCACACGGCACGCCUCCAGGCGCUCAGCUGUUUUCGGAAAGACUCGGUACAGAGCUAUGUAGUCUAGCCACUGCAAUUCUGCACAGACACUUGAGGACAUACUACACAUUUAAAAAUAACCCUUGGGAGUGGCUACUGGAAGAAGAAAUUAGACCCAGAGAGGUCUUACAAGGAGCAGCCAC